This 422-nucleotide ribosomal RNA is filed under the name uncultured bacterium. RNAcentral's name for it is "bacterial SSU rRNA". It matches the Rfam family "Bacterial small subunit ribosomal RNA", at positions 355 to 774 of the family's 1533-position model. The record is from RNAcentral.
UGAGGAAUAUUGGACAAUGGGCGCAAGCCUGAUCCAGCCAUGCCGCGUGCAGGAAGAAGCAUCUAUGGUGUGUAAACUGCUUUUGUACGGGAAGAAACACUCCUUCGUGAAGGAGCUUGACGGUACCGUAAGAAUAAGGAUCGGCUAACUCCGUGCCAGCAGCCGCGGUAAUACGGAGGAUCCAAGCGUUAUCCGGAGUCAUUGGGUUUAAAGGGUCCGUAGACGGUUUAGUAAGUCAGUGGUGAAAGCCCAUCGCUCAACGAUGGAACGGCCAUUGAUACUGCUAGACUUGAAUUAUUAGGAAGUAACUAGAAUAUGUAGUGUAGCUGUGAAAUGCUUAGAUAUUACAUGGAAUACCAGUUGCGAAGGCAGGUUACUACUUGUGGAUUGACGCUGAUGGACGAAAGCGUGGGGAGCGAACA